Molecule: non-coding RNA, 144 nt
Organism: Caulobacterales bacterium
Lineage: Bacteria; Pseudomonadati; Pseudomonadota; Alphaproteobacteria; Caulobacterales
Source: Rfam
CAGUGUUCUCAGGGCGGGGUGCAAUUCCCCACCGGCGGUAAGGCGGCGACGCCAAGCCCGCGAGCGCUCCCCCGGCUUGGGGAGGUCAGCAGAUCCGGUGUGAUUCCGGGGCCGACGGUAUAGUCCGGAUGAAAGAGAACGGGA